RNAcentral lists this ribosomal RNA (828 nucleotides) under uncultured fungus. RNAcentral describes it as "SSU rRNA". It matches the Rfam family "Eukaryotic small subunit ribosomal RNA", at positions 564 to 1421 of the family's 1831-position model. Lineage: Eukaryota; Fungi. The record is from RNAcentral.
GUGCCAGCCGCCGCGGUAAUUCCAGCUCCAAUAGCGUAUAUUAAAGUUGUUGUGGUUAAAAAGCUCGUAGUUGAACCUUGGGCCUGGCUGGCCGGUCCGCCUCACCGCGUGCACUGGUCCGGCCGGGCCUUUCCCUCUGUGGAACCCCAUACCCUUCACUGGGCGUGGCGGGGAAACAGGACAUUUACUUUGAAAAAAUUAGAGUGCUCCAGGCAGGCCUAUGCUCGAAUACAUUAGCAUGGAAUAAUAAAAUAGGACGCGCGGUUCUAUUUUGUUGGUUUAUAGGACCGCCGUAAUGAUUAAUAGGGACAGUCGGGGGCAUCAGUAUUCAACUGUCAGAGGUGAAAUUCUUGGAUCAGUUGAAGACUAACUACUGCGAAAGCAUUUGCCAAGGAUGUUUUCAUUAAUCAGGAACGAAAGUUAGGGGAUCGAAGACGAUCAGAUACCGUCGUAGUCUUAACCAUAAACUAUGCCGACUAGGGAUCGGACGGUGUUAUUCAUGACCCGUUCGGCACCUUACGAGAAAUCAAAGUGCUUGGGCUCCAGGGGGAGUAUGGUCGCAAGGCUGAAACUUAAAGAAAUUGACGGAAGGGCACCACCAGGGGUGGAGCCUGCGGCUUAAAUUUGACUCAACACGGGAAACUCACCAGGUCCAAGACACAAUAAGGAUUGACAGAUUGAGAGCUCUUUUCUUGAUUUUGUGGGUGGUGGUGCAUGGCCGUCUUAAGUGGUGGGGUGACUUGUCUGCUUAAUGCGAUAACGAACGAGACCUUAACCUGCUAAAUAGCCCGCAUUGCUCCGGCAGUGCGCUGGCUUCUAGAAGGGACU